Long non-coding RNA from Suricata suricatta (meerkat), 737 nucleotides. RefSeq lists it as uncharacterized. The record is from RefSeq and is a predicted model, not a curated record. The transcript is spliced from 2 exons. NCBI's taxonomy places the organism in Eukaryota, Metazoa, Chordata, Mammalia, Carnivora, Herpestidae.
GGUGUGUUUUCAUUAAAGCAGACCAUUGCCGUUAGCAGUUUUUCAUGAGACUUCAAUCCCUGGGAAUCUCUUGUGUUCUCCUUCAAGAGUGUUAAAGGGGUCAGUGGAAAAGAGCCACAAAUGAACACUGAAUGCAUGUUUUUGAAAUGGUAAUACAUCAUCCGGGAAAAGUGAAUGGGAGAAGCAGUGGUAGAAAGGAAUGUGAAAAAAAAAAAAAAGAAAGAAAACCGCUUUCUUCACAGAGUAAGACUGUUUCAUCUCAGGGAGACCUAAGGGCCACUCGCCAAGAGAAUGAUUUUUCUCUCCCCGUGUCUUCUGUCAGGAUGCAGACAUAAUUUGGUGAUGUAUUUGUCUCUUGAUGUGCUAUCUUAAGAACGAUUCUCCAAGGGAAAUUUAACCUACUGUGUCUGAUCAUCUUAACUCACUGCCAGAGUCUGUUCUCUGAGGACUUUAAUGCCCACAAAGCUGACAGAACCUUUCCAAUCAGUGAGCAGGGGCUGCUACUUGCUCUAGAAAUCACACAAAGAUAACUUCAAAGGACCCACGUUAAAAAAGAAUAUUAGGUCUGAAGAUAUUUGAAUGGUGCCUGAACCAGAGUCAGUGGACCAUUCCCUCCCUCACUUUAUAUUCUGCGCAGCUCUUGUUCAUUAAAUAUCACUGAAUACACCCAACAGCUCUUUAGGAGAUCAAAUGUCUGAAUGGGAAAGAUCAUUAAAAAGUGAUUUGUGUCAAUGAAA